GUUGCAAUAUGUGUCGUCCCAUUUAUUUUGCCGUCUGCCCCCUCAUGGCAAAGAUUCUUUGUUGUCCGCUUUGAGAAAGCACACGGCAAAGAACCUCUUCACCGGAUUUUUUUUGCCGUCUACUUUGCCGUCAGCUGACCGACGGCAAAGCCUUUGCCGUCCGUGGUUGCACCCUUUGUCGUCCGCCUUGGCAGAUGGCAAAUUUGUGAAUUUCAGUAGUGUUUGUAGUUGAUGCUAGUUGGAUUACUCGGUGGAAGAUUAUAUGUUCAGAUCCUUGAUGCUAUUCACUACCUCUCUGGUCAUGAAUAUGAUUAUGCUUUCUGAGUAGUCACUUUUGUUCCUGAGGACAUGGGAUAAGUCUUGCUAUAUGUAGUUAUAUGAAUUUGUUAUUCGUUCGAUAUUUUGAUGCGUUGUAUGUUUUUUUCCUCUAGUGGUGUUAUGUGAACGUCGACUUGAUAACACUUCACCAUUAUUUGGGCCUAUAUGAAGGCAUUGGUAAGUAAUUAGUAGAUGACUGGUUGCUAGAGUGAUAGAAUCUUAAACCCUAGUUUAUGUGUUGCUUCGUAAGGGGCUGAUUUGGAUCCACUAGUUUAAUGUUAUGGUUAGACUUUGUCUUAAUUCUUCUUUCGUAUUUGCCGAUGCUUGUGAGAGGGGUUAAUAAUAAGUGGGAGGUUUGUCCAAGUAAGGGCAGCACCCAAGCACCGGUCCACCCACAUAUCAAACUAUCAAAGUAGCGAACGCGAAUCAUAUGAACAUGAUGAAAACUAGCUUGACAGAAAUUCUCACGUGUCCUCGGGAACGCUUUACCUCCUAUAAGAGUUUGUCCAGGCUUGUCCCUUGAUACAAAAGGGAUUGGGCCCCUUUUCUGCACCUUUGCUACUUGUUACUUGCUACUUGCUACGAAUCAUCUUAUCACACAACUAUCUGUUAUCGAUAAUUUCAGUGCUUGCAUAGAUUACCUUGCUGAAAACCACUUGUCAGAUCCUUCUUCUCCUCAUCGGGUUCGACACUCUUACUUAUUGAAAGGACUACGAUAGAUCCCCUACACUUGUGGGUCAUCAGCCUGCACUGUUGCAAGAGAAACUCCUUGCACGGAUUCAGUUGUUGUUGGAGAUAUAGCUGAAUAGUUGGUUGUUGCCAAGGAAAUGGUUGUUGUGGUUGCUCGGGAUAUUUUUGUUGCGGGGGCUGAGGAAAAGGUUGUAACAGUGGCUGAGGGUAUGAUUGUGGGGGCUGGGGGAAUGAUUGGUGUGGUGGCUGAGGGAGUAGUUGGUCGGGGAAUGGUAGGAACGGGUGGGUAAACGGUAGUAGUGGCCGUUGGGGGAAUUGUUGUGUGGGUUGGGGAAAUUGGUGUUGUGGUUGCUGGAGCCAUUCCU
Molecule: long non-coding RNA, 1373 nt
Filed under: Hordeum vulgare
Lineage: Eukaryota; Viridiplantae; Streptophyta; Magnoliopsida; Poales; Poaceae
Description: long non-coding RNA (HVUL_LNC013437)
Source: RNAcentral